GGGACACUGUCGGUGGGCAUGGUGGGGAUGGGUUGGGGUUGGGCUUCGGGAUCUUGGAGGUCUUUCCCCACCUUCAUCAUUCUAUUGUUCU
This is a microRNA precursor of Gallus gallus (chicken), 91 nucleotides long. The record is from Ensembl. NCBI's taxonomy places the organism in Eukaryota, Metazoa, Chordata, Aves, Galliformes, Phasianidae.